This 181-nucleotide unclassified non-coding RNA is filed under the name Glomeraceae sp. RNAcentral's name for it is "partial contains 5.8S ribosomal RNA and internal transcribed spacer 2". The stretch from base 1 to 71 matches the Rfam family "5.8S ribosomal RNA", at positions 84 to 154 of the family's 154-position model. Lineage: Eukaryota; Fungi; Glomeromycota; Glomeromycetes; Glomerales; Glomeraceae. The record is from RNAcentral.
GUGAAUCAUCGAAUUUUUGAACGCAAAUUGCACUCCCUGGUAUUCCGGGGAGUAUGCCUGUUUGAGGGUCGGUAGAAUAAAAAUCGAAGCGUCGCUCUUUUUUUUAGGGGUGAUCGCGUAGGUAUUGAGCCGUCUUUUAAAUGUUAUUGCUUGUAAAAGUGGCUUAAAUUCCAUCGAUCCG